UAUUUCUAACGUAAAAACAUUUUCAUAUAAUUAAUUCGUGUUAAAAAAAAAAAUUUUUUUAUGAGUACUCAUUGACGAAAUGAAUAUAUAACAAGCGAUAAGGAAGAUUAUUUUGCACUCGAUAAUAUCCGCGUAUUUAUACGAUCGGUUUCCAGUCAAAAACGAAAGUCAAAUCUCUGUGGCAACAAUACAUCGGAAUGCCCUCACGGUCAAUGAGAUGUAAACAGCGUCCAAGCGGCAAGCUGAUUAUGAUCUAAAGAUAUCGAAUUGCCAACGGG
This 278-nucleotide long non-coding RNA is filed under the name Mytilus galloprovincialis (Mediterranean mussel). The record is from RNAcentral. Lineage: Eukaryota; Metazoa; Mollusca; Bivalvia; Mytilida; Mytilidae.